This 674-nucleotide ribosomal RNA is filed under the name uncultured Rhodospirillales bacterium. RNAcentral describes it as "bacterial SSU rRNA". It matches the Rfam family "Bacterial small subunit ribosomal RNA", at positions 94 to 803 of the family's 1533-position model. The record is from RNAcentral. Lineage: Bacteria; Pseudomonadati; Pseudomonadota; Alphaproteobacteria; Rhodospirillales.
AGUGGCGCACGGGUGAGUAACACGUGGGAAUGUGCCUUUUGGUACGGAACAACUUUUGGAAACGAAAGCUAAUACCGUAUGGUCCCUCCGGGGUAAAGAUUUAUCGCCAAAAGAGCAGCCCGCGUCUGAUUAGCUAGUUGGUGAGGUAACGGCUCACCAAGGCGACGAUCAGUAGCUGGUCUGAGAGGACGAUCAGCCACACUGGGACUGAGACACGGCCCAGACUCCUACGGGAGGCAGCAGUUAGGAAUCUUGGACAAUGGGCGCAAGCCUGAUCCAGCCAUGCCGCGUGAGUGAUGAAGGCCUUCGGGUUGUAAAGCUCUUUAGUCCACGAAUAUAAUGACUGUAGUGGAAGAAUAAGCCCCGGCUAACUUCGUGCCAGCAGCCGCGGUAAUACGAAGGGGGCGAGCGUUGUUCGGAAUCACUGGGCGUAAAGAGUGCGUAGGCGGUCAUGAAAGUUAGGAGUGAAAGCCCAGGGCUUAACCUUGGAAUUGCUUUUAAAACUACAUGACUCGAAUUCGGGAGAGGAUAGCGGAAUUGUCAGUGUAGCAGUGAAAUGCGUAGAUAUUGACAGGAACACCAGUGGCGUAAGCGGCUAUCUGGACCGACAUUGACGCUGAGGCACGAAAGCGUGGGGAUCAAACAGGAUUAGAUACCCUGGUAGUCCACGCCGU